Molecule: long non-coding RNA, 355 nt
Organism: Lagenorhynchus albirostris (white-beaked dolphin)
Lineage: Eukaryota; Metazoa; Chordata; Mammalia; Artiodactyla; Delphinidae
Exons: 3
Source: RefSeq, a predicted model, not a curated record
AAACAUCCUGACCAGGCCCACCUGUGAAUGACUGCGGGCAGGAAGAAAUUAACACAUCCCCUCUGGAGGCGGGCUGGAACCAGGAAGUGUUUGACUUUACUCCCUCCCCUUUUAGUAUAAAAGAAGCCGAAGUUCUAACUCAGGUGAAGAAGUGAUUGCCAGAGAGACUAAGUGACUUAAGUCAUAUGAAGAAUUUGAGUGCCCUGGAAUUCCCUUUACUUUUAAAACAUACUAUGUACAGGGCAGCAAUGGUCACUGGAAUAGUGCUAUUUACAUGACUAAACCACAAGUCGAGGUGCAGACAUGUGAAAAUUAAAAAAAAAAAUACACCAACAUUAAAAUAAAUACUGCAUAA